CGAACGCUAUGUGUGUUAUUUUUGAACGGAUAGUGUGUACUCCUUGAACACCUAGUGUUUGAAUCUGGAACGCGUAACAGUGUUCUAGAUAUUAACUUUCGUGUUCCAGUUUUUAACAUCAUGUGUGCAUCUUUCGAACGCUAUGUGUUAUUCUUGAACGGAUAGCGUGUACUUCUUGAACGCCUAGUGUUUGAAUCUGGAACAUGUCCUUGUGAGCAAAAUUGUAUGCCGUUACGCGUUCUAAGUCUUGUAACACUUCUGGAACGCUCGGACUGUGUUCCAGAAAUAUGUGUUAAUAUCCAGAACACAUAGUGUAUAUUACUGGAACACAAUUUUAC
Molecule: long non-coding RNA, 338 nt
Filed under: Mytilus galloprovincialis (Mediterranean mussel)
Lineage: Eukaryota; Metazoa; Mollusca; Bivalvia; Mytilida; Mytilidae
Source: RNAcentral